This 923-nucleotide long non-coding RNA is filed under the name Salvia miltiorrhiza (redroot sage). Its description in RNAcentral is "long non-coding RNA (SMIL_LNC005517)". The record is from RNAcentral. Lineage: Eukaryota; Viridiplantae; Streptophyta; Magnoliopsida; Lamiales; Lamiaceae.
GAAAAUAAAACAAAGGAAACAAGUUAAUCUCUCAAAGGAAUUGUUCUCGUUGCCAGAUUUCCACUACCGCCGCCAAGAUGGUUUACUUCUCUACUGCCCUAUUCCUACGAAGAGCUCCUCAAGCAAAAAAAUUAAUCUCCCUACAAAAAUAAAACUCCUUUUCACCAUAUACCAACCUAGCCGUCACUUUUAGUUUAUGGGCCAAGAAAAUAAAACAAAAUAAUAGAACCCUUAGCCCACAAACUAAUGACUUUUGAUUCCCUCAAAAAAAAAAAAAAAAAAAAAAAACUAAUGACUUUUGUGGCUAAUUAAAUUAAAGAAGUAAUUCUAUAAAAUUUAUAAUAAUGACUAUCUUUCUUACCCAAAUAAAUUCCUUCAUCAGCAUGCAUCUUCUGAAAUCUUUUAAAUAAUUUCAUCAAAAUUGCCUCUUCUCUCUUUUCUAUUCUUGACUAUUUUACGGUAUCAAACUCUUCAAUUCCUGCACCAAAAGCACAUAAUUGUGUAUAUUAAAUUCGAUUAAAGCAUAAAAUAAUCCAAAAAUAUGAACAACAAAAAUACACGCAUCACCCACCAUUGAUAUAAUCGUAUCAUCCUCCGACUGUGAAUCGCCGUCGCGCCGCCUCUUCCAGGGACGACAGAUCUGCUUAACUUCCUCUCACGGUAGAUUCCCUUAGCACACCCAAUUUCUGCUGGAGGAGGUGCCGCUGCUCAGUUGGACAAACAACGGCUCUGCUGCGAAUAGAGCACAUGUUUUGGAGGCUUUGUUGUAGAGGUAGUCGGAGUUGUAGAUUCAAAUGGUGGUGUUGCACAAAAAUGAAUUAAAAGGUAUUCCAAUUAUCAAUAAUUGAUACAAAAUUUAAUAUUAAUAGAUUGAUUUCUUGGCUUCAGAGAGACAGAAAUUGAAGGUUCGAGAACCUAAACAU